This 119-nucleotide ribosomal RNA is filed under the name Pteropus alecto (black flying fox). The record is from RNAcentral. Lineage: Eukaryota; Metazoa; Chordata; Mammalia; Chiroptera; Pteropodidae.
GUCUGUGGCCAUGCUACCCUGAAAGUGCCCGAUCUUGUCUGAUUUCGGAAGCUAAGCAGGAUCGGUCCUGGUUAGUACUUGGAUGGGAGACCAUCUAGGAAGACCAGGUGCUGUAGGUG